Molecule: long non-coding RNA, 730 nt
Organism: Homalodisca vitripennis (glassy-winged sharpshooter)
Lineage: Eukaryota; Metazoa; Arthropoda; Insecta; Hemiptera; Cicadellidae
Exons: 2
Source: RefSeq, a predicted model, not a curated record
AACCUAACCUUCUGAAACGUAACGUUUUCAUUAUCUAACAUAAUGUAAUCCACACUAAAAGAAACUAACCUAACCUAGCAACGAUAAACUAAGGUAACCUAACCUUCUGAAACGUAACGUUUCAUUAUCUAAACAUAAUGUAAUCCACACUAAAAGAAACUAACCUAACCUAGCAACGAUAAACUAAGGUAACCUAACCUUCUGAAACGUAACGUUUCAUUAUUCUAACAUAAUGUAAUCCACACUAAAAGAAACUAACCUAACCUAGCAAACGAUAAACUAAGGUAACGUAACCUAUUGAAACGUAACCAAACGCUAAACCUAACCUAUUGCCAAUGGAUCUACACUAUUAACUGCCUAUGGCAAAUCUUGCCAUCUCAUCAUUUUAUAAUAAAAAGGCUCAUGUUUACUAGUAGAUUGUCUAUUUGCAGGCCACAGCCCCAUACCCUGGGCUCUGACAGGGGAGUUUUUUCCGUCCAGUGUCAAAGCCAAAGGAGCCACUCUGUCUACCGUUCAUAUUCUGUGGCGAAUCUUUCAUCCUCAUAAACUUGUUCCCUCAGAUCACAGCCUUUCUUCGGACUGCCUAAUACUUGUUGGAUUGCGAGCAUAAACCUCUUCUUGGGUUCUAUUUUUGUGGCCUUAUGUGUGCCAGAAACGAGCGGACUAUCAUUUCUGCAAAUACAGGAGCUGUUGAAUAAAUAAUGAUAACAAUAAAGAUAUAGACUUUUAA